This is a long non-coding RNA of Artibeus jamaicensis (Jamaican fruit-eating bat), 365 nucleotides long. RefSeq lists it as uncharacterized. The record is from RefSeq and is a predicted model, not a curated record. NCBI's taxonomy places the organism in Eukaryota, Metazoa, Chordata, Mammalia, Chiroptera, Phyllostomidae. The transcript is spliced from 3 exons.
UCCCGUCCGUCUCCUGGAAGGACCCCAGGUGAAUGGCUGUCUUGUGCCUGAUGCGAUCUCGUCCUCGUUCUGUCACCAGCGCUUUGAGUCCCAGCGUUUUAGUCUGUUCAUCAGGCGGUGGUUUUAAGGAGUCUAGGAUAAAUUCACAAUUCGAGAAGCAGAUUAAACUCUUCCGCUGAGUCGAGUAUUAGACAUGGAGGAGGAAAGGUACGGAUGGGGAAGAAGACUAAGAUUCUUUGCUUUGGCGCUGUGUUCUUCGAGUUUGGUGAAUUCAAAGAUGAGGUCAGGUCAAGAUUAUUCAACUCAGAAUUCUAACAGUGGAUCAAAAGGACCAGUUUGGAGAGAACUGGAUUGCCUUCCCUGAU